This is a transfer RNA of Phycicoccus sp. Root563, 87 nucleotides long. It matches the Rfam family "tRNA". From Rfam's summary of the family: Transfer RNA (tRNA) molecules are approximately 80 nucleotides in length. Their secondary structure includes four short double-helical elements and three loops (D, anti-codon, and T loops). Further hydrogen bonds mediate the characteristic L-shaped molecular structure. tRNAs have two regions of fundamental functional importance: the anti-codon, which is responsible for specific mRNA codon recognition, and the 3' end, to which the tRNAs corresponding amino acid is attached (by aminoacyl-tRNA synthetases). tRNAs cope with the degeneracy of the genetic code in two manners: having more than one tRNA (with a specific anti-codon) for a particular amino acid; and 'wobble' base-pairing, i.e. permitting non-standard base-pairing at the 3rd anti-codon position. The record is from Rfam. Lineage: Bacteria; Bacillati; Actinomycetota; Actinomycetes; Micrococcales; Intrasporangiaceae.
GGUGGCGUGUCCGAGCGGCCUAAGGAGCACGCCUCGAAAGCGUGUGUGGGUGAAAGCCCACCGUGGGUUCAAAUCCCACCGCCACCG